RNAcentral lists this ribosomal RNA (420 nucleotides) under uncultured microorganism. Its description in RNAcentral is "bacterial SSU rRNA". It matches the Rfam family "Archaeal small subunit ribosomal RNA", at positions 330 to 752 of the family's 1478-position model. The record is from RNAcentral.
GUGCACCAGGCGAGAAACUUCACACUGUGCGAAAGCACGAUGAGGGAAUCCCAAGUGCUUGCACGUAAGUGUAAGCUGUUUCUCUGUUUAAAACGCAGAGAGAGUAAGGGCUGGGUAAGACGGGUGCCAGCCGCCGCGGUAAUACCUGCAGCUCAAGUGGUGACCGUUAUUAUUGGGCCUAAAACGUCCGCAGCCGGUUUAAUAAAUGCCUGGGUAAAUCGUGUAGCUUAACUAUACGAAUUCCGGGUAGACUGUUAAACUCGAGACCGGGAGAAGUUAGAGGUACUCCUGGGGUAGAGGUGAAAUUCUGUAAUCCUAGGGGGACCACCAGUGGUGAAGGCGUCUAACUAGAACGGGUCUGACGGUGAGGGACGAAGCCCUGGGGCGCAAACGGGAUUAGAUACCCCCGUAGUCCCUGAA